CAGUAUGGUCUAAGUCUAAACAAGAUUGUGGGAGAAUGACUUUACAAAUUGUAAUUGUAGGUCUAGACCCCCUGCAGAAAAACAAUAUAAGAGCAAAACCCUUGUACAAUAUGCUAAAAGAUAAUGCCAAUACAGAUAAGCUACUCUGGACAAAAGGAAGCUGAAAACAGUUGGAACCUGUUUAAAAAAAAAAUGCUCUCACACAAGCGCCUGUGCUAGCUGC
Pelobates cultripes (western spadefoot toad) is the source of this 223-nucleotide non-coding RNA. The record is from the annotation of a GenBank genome assembly. NCBI's taxonomy places the organism in Eukaryota, Metazoa, Chordata, Amphibia, Anura, Pelobatidae.